UAGGGAAUCUUCCGCAAUGGACGCAAGUCUGACGGAGCAACGCCGCGUGAGUGAAGAAGGAUUUCGGUUCGUAAAACUCUGUUGUUAGAGAAGAACAGCGCAUAGAGUAACUGUUAUGCGUGUGACGGUAUCUAACCAGAAAGCCACGGCUAACUACGUGCCAGCAGCCGCGGUAAUACGUAGGUGGCAAGCGUUGUCCGGAUUUAUUGGGCGUAAAGCGAGCGCAGGCGGUCAAUUAAGUCUGAUGUGAAAGCCCCCGGCUCAACCGGGGGGGGUCAUUGGAAACUGGUUGACUUGAGUGCAGAAGAGGAGAGUGGAAUUCCAUGUGUAGCGGUGAAAUGCGUAGAUAUAUGGAGGAACACCAGUGGCGAAGGCGACUCUCGGGUCUGUAACUGACGCUGAGGUUCGAAAGCGUGGGUAGCAAACAGG
RNAcentral lists this ribosomal RNA (429 nucleotides) under Bacteroidota bacterium. Its description in RNAcentral is "Bacteroidetes bacterium partial 16S ribosomal RNA". It matches the Rfam family "Bacterial small subunit ribosomal RNA", at positions 355 to 776 of the family's 1533-position model. Lineage: Bacteria; Pseudomonadati; Bacteroidota. The record is from RNAcentral.